Molecule: ribosomal RNA, 301 nt
Filed under: uncultured bacterium
Lineage: Bacteria
Description: partial 16S ribosomal RNA
Rfam family: Bacterial small subunit ribosomal RNA
Source: RNAcentral
CAGUAGCCGCGGUAAAACGGAGGGGGCAAGCGUUAUCCGGAAUUAUUGGGCGUAAAGGGUACGUAGGUGGCCUUUUAAGCGUAGGGUAUAAGGCAAUGGCUCAACCAUUGUUCGCCCUAUGAACUGGAAGGCUUGAGUGCAGGAGAGGAAAGCGGAAUUCCUAGUGUAGCGGUGGAAUGCAUAGAUAUUAGGAGGAACAUCAGCGGCGAAGGCGGCUUUCUGGACUGCAACUGACACUGAGGUACGAAAGCGUGGGGAGCAAACAGGAUUAGAUACCCGAGUAGUCCCUGUCUCUUAUACA